AUUAGUGGCGAACGGGUGAGUAACACGUGAGUAACCUGCCCUUAACUCUGGGAUAAGCCUGGGAAACUGGGUCUAAUACCGGAUAGGAGCGUCCACCGCAUGGUGGGUGUUGGAAAGAUUUAUCGGUUUUGGAUGGACUCGCGGCCUAUCAGCUUGUUGGUGAGGUAAUGGCUCACCAAGGCGACGACGGGUAGCCGGCCUGAGAGGGUGACCGGCCACACUGGGACUGAGACACGGCCCAGACUCCUACGGGAGGCAGCAGUGGGGAAUAUUGCACAAUGGGCGAAAGCCUGAUGCAGCGACGCCGCGUGAGGGAUGACGGCCUUCGGGUUGUAAACCUCUUUCAGUAGGGAAGAAGCGAAAGUGACGGUACCUGCAGAAGAAGCACCGGCUAACUACGUGCCAGCAGCCGCGGUAAUACGUAGGGUGCGAGCGUUAUCCGGAAUUAUUGGGCGUAAAGAGCUCGUAGGCGGUUUGUCGCGUCUGUCGUGAAAGUCCGGGGCUUAACCCCGGAUCUGCGGUGGGUACGGGCAGACUAGAGUGCAGUAGGGGAGACUGGAAUUCCUGGUGUAGCGGUGGAAUGCGCAGAUAUCAGGAGGAACACCGAUGGCGAAGGCAGGUCUCUGGGCUGUAACUGACGCUGAGGAGCGAAAGCAUGGGGAGCGAACAGGAUUAGAUACCCUGGUAGUCCAUGCCGUAAACGUUGGGCACUAGGUGUGGGGACCAUUCCACGGUUUCCGCGCCGCAGCUAACGCAUUAAGUGCCCCGCCUGGG
This 774-nucleotide ribosomal RNA is filed under the name Micrococcus sp. 67. RNAcentral's name for it is "bacterial SSU rRNA". It matches the Rfam family "Bacterial small subunit ribosomal RNA", at positions 91 to 877 of the family's 1533-position model. Lineage: Bacteria; Bacillati; Actinomycetota; Actinomycetes; Micrococcales; Micrococcaceae. The record is from RNAcentral. RNAcentral also lists the same sequence under 1 other name.